GUGACGAAACUGCCCCUGCUUUAUGUUGAAAUAGAUGUGCCGAUUGUACAAGGCGUGUGUGGCAGACUGCUGCAAAUCUGUUGGUGGGGGAGUUGUUCUGAGGAGUAGGGAUAACAGUAGGAGGCGCUGCAGAAGAUGGUCUUUUGGAUAAAGAAAGCUUCGUACUAGAUGUGAUUCCUCCAAAACCAAUUCCUUAGAGAGAUUUGCGUGGUAGAGGAUGUAUUCAAGUGCCCGAGGAGGUGUUGAUGACCAUCUGCACCUGUGAGCAAAUGGAAGAAAUCAGUAGGAACUCUCUCAGUCUCAUGAGAAGUGACAUUACCUAGCCUCUUAUCCAAUCUGAAAGGGACUCAUCUGAUGAAAUGGAUGUUUUCACUCCAACAAGAGAUAGAUAAUCAGGCUUUGAAGAAGUGGCCAACGAACCUCCACGGCAAAAAAGUCUCACAUUAGCUUUAACUGCUACUAAUGGAAUUGCUGGAGGGCGUUUGGACUCAACUAACAAGGGGAAAAAAAAGUCACAGAUCCAGUAACUGGUGGAAGUCAGUUCUUGAAUUUGCAGAUGGGUUCUGGUUAUGUGGAUCCAAGCUUGGGUACUUGGGUAGGGCUGACAUGAGGCCAAAAAUUGGUGAGGCUGAGGAUUGUGUGAUACUUGAGGGUGAUGACAUGAGCAAAGUCACGCAGCACUUCGUUAAGGUCACACAGCACUUCGUUAAUGUGGCCGUCAGCAUCUUCGGCAUAAGUGUUGUUGGAGGGACAAUCCCUUCUGUCUGCCGAAGGUGGUUCAUCAGUCCGUCCGUCGCCAUCAACCGUCUGGUCCGCACUCACUUCGCUAUGGUUUGAUUAUUCAAUGAAAUCAAUUAACCCCUUAAGCAUUGACGGCCACCUACAAAUUCAGGAGUUGAGAGUGUGUUAGAAAAGACAGCAAGACGAUAAGUAAUGCAAUACCAUUAUAUGUAACCUCUACAAUAACAUUUACCAGUUAACACAAGAAGUAAACAUUUAACAUUAUAUGUAACCUCAAAAUGCAACUAAGUCGAUCAUCUGCUUCUAAGGAAAGUUAUAACGUAUAAUAUUUUUGGUGAUCACUACCUAAUAG
Brassica napus (rape) is the source of this 1093-nucleotide RNA transcript. RefSeq lists it as uncharacterized. The transcript is spliced from 4 exons. NCBI's taxonomy places the organism in Eukaryota, Viridiplantae, Streptophyta, Magnoliopsida, Brassicales, Brassicaceae. The record is from RefSeq and is a predicted model, not a curated record.